UGGUGGGUAGUUUGACUGGGGCGGUCUCCUCCUAAAGAGUAACGGAGGAGCACGAAGGUUGGCUAAUCCUGGUCGGACAUCAGGAGGUUAGUGCAAUGGCAUAAGCCAGCUUGACUGCGAGCGUGACGGCGCGAGCAGGUGCGAAAGCAGGUCAUAGUGAUCCGGUGGUUCUGAAUGGAAGGGCCAUCGCUCAACGGAUAAAAGGUACUCCGGGGAUAACAGGCUGAUACCGCCCAAGAGUUCAUAUCGACGGCGGUGUUUGGCACCUCGAUGUCGGCUCAUCACAUCCUGGGGCUGAAGUAGGUCCCAAGGGUAUGGCUGUUCGCCAUUUAAAGUGGUACGCGAGCUGGGUUUAGAACGUCGUGAGACAGUUCGGUCCCUAUCUGCCGUGGGCGCUGGAGAACUGAGGGGGGCUGCUCCUAGUACGAGAGGACCGGAGUGGACGCAUCACUGGUGUUCGGGUUGUCAUGCCAAUGGCACUGCCCGGUAGCUAAAUGCGGAAGAGAUAAGUGCUGAAAGCAUCUAAGCACGAAACUUGCCCCGAGAUGAGUUCUCCCUGACUCCUUGAGAGUCCUGAAGGAACGUUGAAGACGACGACGUUGAUAGGCCGGGUGUGUAAGCGCAGCGAUGCGUUGA
This 636-nucleotide ribosomal RNA is filed under the name Escherichia coli. Its description in RNAcentral is "partial 23S ribosomal RNA". It matches the Rfam family "Bacterial large subunit ribosomal RNA", at positions 2259 to 2889 of the family's 2925-position model. Lineage: Bacteria; Pseudomonadati; Pseudomonadota; Gammaproteobacteria; Enterobacterales; Enterobacteriaceae. The record is from RNAcentral.